Molecule: ribosomal RNA, 253 nt
Filed under: uncultured microorganism
Description: partial 16S ribosomal RNA
Rfam family: Bacterial small subunit ribosomal RNA
Source: RNAcentral
UACGUAGGGUGCGAGCGUUAAUCGGAUUUACUGGGCGUAAAGCGUGCGCAGGCGGCCCGUUAAGACAGGUGUGAAAUCCCUGGGCUCAACCUAGGAAUUGCGCUUGUGACUGGCGGGCUCGAGUACGGUAGAGGGGGGUGGAAUUCCUGGUGUAGCAGUGAAAUGCGUAGAGAUCAGGAGGAAUACCGGUGGCGAAGGCGGCCCCCUGGGCCUGUACUGACGCUCAUGCACGAAAGCGUGGGGAGCAAACAGG